RNAcentral lists this ribosomal RNA (377 nucleotides) under uncultured bacterium. Its description in RNAcentral is "bacterial SSU rRNA". It matches the Rfam family "Bacterial small subunit ribosomal RNA", at positions 523 to 898 of the family's 1533-position model. The record is from RNAcentral.
AUACGUAGGGGGCGAGCGUUGUCCGGAAUUAUUGGGCGUAAAGCGCGCGCAGGCGGUUCCUUAAGUCUGAUGUGAAAGCCCACGGCUCAACCGUGGAGGGUCAUUGGAAACUGGGGGACUUGAGUGCAGGAGAGGAGAGCGGAAUUCCACGUGUAGCGGUGAAAUGCGUAGAGAUGUGGAGGAACACCAGUGGCGAAGGCGGCUCUCUGGCCUGCAACUGACGCUGAGGCGCGAAAGCGUGGGGAGCAAACAGGAUGAGAUACCUUGGUAGUCCACGCCGUAAACGAUGAUUGCUAAGUGUUAGAGGGGUCACACCCUUUAGUGCUGCAGCUAACGCGAUAAGCACUCCGCCUGGGGAGUACGGCCGCAAGGCUGAA